CCUACGGGUGGCAGCAGUGAGGAAUAUUGGUCAAUGGCCGAGAGGCUGAACCAGCCAAGUCGCGUGAGGGAAGACGGCCCUACGGGUUGUAAACCUCUUUUGUCGGGGAGCAAAGCGUACCAUGUGUGGUUCAUUGCGAGUACCCGACGAACAAGCAUCGGCUAACUCCGUGCCAGCCGCCGCGGUAAUACGGGGGAUGCGAGCGUUAUCCGGAUUUAUUGGGUUUAAAGGGUGCGCAGGCGGAGGUGCAAGUCAGCGGUCAAAUUGCGGGGCUCAACCCCGUACUGCCGUUGAAACUGCAUCCCUUGAGUGCGCGAGAGGUAUGCAGAAUGCGUGGUGUAGCGGUGAAAUGCAUAGAUAUCACGCAGAACUCCGAUUGCGAAGGCAGCAUACCGGCGCGCAACUGACGCUCAUGCACGAAAGCGUGGGUAUCGAACAGGAUUAGAUACCCCAGUAGUC
This 459-nucleotide ribosomal RNA is filed under the name uncultured bacterium. RNAcentral's name for it is "partial 16S ribosomal RNA". It matches the Rfam family "Bacterial small subunit ribosomal RNA", at positions 338 to 795 of the family's 1533-position model. The record is from RNAcentral.